This 76-nucleotide transfer RNA is filed under the name Candidatus Mycoplasma haematobovis. RNAcentral's name for it is "Candidatus Mycoplasma haemobos tRNA-His". It matches the Rfam family "tRNA". From Rfam's summary of the family: Transfer RNA (tRNA) molecules are approximately 80 nucleotides in length. Their secondary structure includes four short double-helical elements and three loops (D, anti-codon, and T loops). Further hydrogen bonds mediate the characteristic L-shaped molecular structure. tRNAs have two regions of fundamental functional importance: the anti-codon, which is responsible for specific mRNA codon recognition, and the 3' end, to which the tRNAs corresponding amino acid is attached (by aminoacyl-tRNA synthetases). tRNAs cope with the degeneracy of the genetic code in two manners: having more than one tRNA (with a specific anti-codon) for a particular amino acid; and 'wobble' base-pairing, i.e. permitting non-standard base-pairing at the 3rd anti-codon position. The record is from RNAcentral. Lineage: Bacteria; Bacillati; Mycoplasmatota; Mollicutes; Mycoplasmatales; Mycoplasmataceae.
GCGAUUAUGGUGAAGUGGUUAACACGCCUGAUUGUGGUCCAGGUAUGCGUGGGUUCGACUCCCACUAAUCGCCCCA